AGAUCAUCUUCAUUCUCCUGGUAGAACACCGCUAAGUUGGCGAACUAGAAUCCAAAUUGCGAUUGACGUAGCUAAUGCAUUGGAGUACCUUCAUUUAUAUUGUGAUCCUCCUUUGUGCCAUAGAGACAUUAAGUCUAGCAACAUUUUUCUGGAUGAAAAUUUUGUUGCUAAGGUGGGAUAACUAUUCAUCCUCUUUUUUCAGAACUGAAUAGUUCAAAAACUGCACAAAUUUUAUGAUGCAGUAAUAUUUAGAUAGUCAUAGACACCUUUUAAGUGUUAAUUGAUUCGGUUUUUUUCCUGUGUCACAUCGUUUCACAGAUAGCCGAUUUUGGCCUUGCACAGGCAUCAAAAAAUGGUUCGA
Arachis ipaensis is the source of this 361-nucleotide non-coding RNA. The record is from RefSeq and is a predicted model, not a curated record. Lineage: Eukaryota; Viridiplantae; Streptophyta; Magnoliopsida; Fabales; Fabaceae.